CAAUAGCGUAUAUUAAAGUUGUUGCAGUUAAAAAGCUCGUAGUUGAAGUUCUGGCUGUUCGAUCCUCGAGCUCUGUAGCCGAGGACUCGACAGUCAUCCGCUUGCAAAUAUAGUUCGCUUUUAACCGAGUGGCUAUAUGAGUAAGCAAUUUACCUUGAGAAAAACAGAGUGUUCCAGGCAGGUUUGUCCGGAAUGCAUUAGCAUGGAAUAAUAGAAUAUGACUGAAGUCGAUUUAUUGGUUUGAGGCUUUAGUAAUGAUUAAUAGGAACAGUCGGGGGCAUUGGUACUUGACAGUCAGAGGUGAAAUUCUAGGAUUUGUCAAAGACUAACAAAUGCGAAAGCAUUUGCCAAGGAUGUUUUCAUUAAUCAAGAACGAAAGUUAGGGGAUCAAAGACGAUUAGAUACCAU
RNAcentral lists this ribosomal RNA (408 nucleotides) under uncultured eukaryote. RNAcentral describes it as "SSU rRNA". It matches the Rfam family "Eukaryotic small subunit ribosomal RNA", at positions 592 to 1018 of the family's 1831-position model. The record is from RNAcentral.